CUACGGGUUGCUGCUGUGAGGAAUAUUGCACAAUGGAGGAAACUCUGAUGCAGCAACGCCGCGUGGAGGAUGACGCAUUUCGGUGUGUAAACCCCUUUUAUAUGUCAAGAAAAUGACGGUAGCAUAUGAAUAAGCACCGGCUAACUCCGUGCCAGCAGCCGCGGUAAUACGGAGGGUGCAAGCGUUACUCGGAAUCACUGGGCGUAAAGGACGCGUAGGCGGGAUAUCAAGUCAGGUGUGAAAUCCUACAGCUUAACUGUAGAACUGCACUUGAAACUGGUAACCUAGAGUAUGGGAGGGGGAGAUGGAAUUAGUGGUGUAGGGGUAAAAUCCGUAGAUAUCACUAGGAAUACCUAAAGCGAAGGCGAUCUCCUGGAACAUAACUGACGCUAAGGCGUGAAAGCGUGGGGAGCAAACAGGAUUAGAUACCCUAGUAGUC
RNAcentral lists this ribosomal RNA (439 nucleotides) under uncultured bacterium. RNAcentral describes it as "partial 16S ribosomal RNA". It matches the Rfam family "Bacterial small subunit ribosomal RNA", at positions 339 to 795 of the family's 1533-position model. The record is from RNAcentral.